GAUGAACGCUAGCGGCAGGCUUAAUACAUGCAAGUCGUGGGGCAGCAGGUUUGUAGCAAUACAGAUGCUGGCGACCGGCAAACGGGUGCGGAACACGUACAGAACCUUCCUUUGAGCGGGGAAUAGCCCAGAGAAAUUUGGAUUAAUACCCCAUAGUAUAAUGAAGUGGCAUCACUUUAUUAUUAAAGAUUUAUCACUCGAAGAUGGCUGUGCGGCUGAUUAGGUAGUUGGCGGGUAAAGGCCCACCAAGCCUGCGAUCAGUAACUGGUGUGAGAGCACGACCAGUCACACGGGCACUGAGACACGGGCCCGACUCCUACGGGAGCAGCAGUAAGGAAUAUUGGUCAAUGGAGGCAACUCUGAACCAGCCAUGCCGCGUGGAGGAUGAAGGUCCUCUGGAUUGUAAACUUCUUUUAUAUGGGUACGAAAAAAGGCUUUUCUAAGUCGUCUGACGGUACCAUAUGAAUAAGCACCGGCUAAC
RNAcentral lists this ribosomal RNA (481 nucleotides) under uncultured bacterium. Its description in RNAcentral is "bacterial SSU rRNA". It matches the Rfam family "Bacterial small subunit ribosomal RNA", at positions 28 to 501 of the family's 1533-position model. The record is from RNAcentral.